RNAcentral lists this signal recognition particle RNA (340 nucleotides) under Triticum dicoccoides. RNAcentral describes it as "SRP RNA Plant_SRP". It matches the Rfam family "Plant signal recognition particle RNA". The record is from RNAcentral. Lineage: Eukaryota; Viridiplantae; Streptophyta; Magnoliopsida; Poales; Poaceae.
GCCGAGCUCAGUUACGAGAGCUUGUAACCCGAGUGGGGGCAUUAAGGUGGUGUGGACGCUGUUGUAGCGCUGCAGGCCUGGUCUGGGUGUGCUACUGCUGGCCCGCCCGUUCCAAGUUGAGUAGUGGACCGCCUGGGGCCUAAACGAAAGCUAGGCCUCACGGACCGCCUGGGGCCUAAGCGAAAGCUAGGCCUCACGGUCCAUAAUGUGGUAGGCACAGCGUGAGGCUGGCUUCACAGAGCAGCGAUAACUGCCCGCUUCCAACGGUGGAAGGAUAACGGGCCGCUGCACUCCUAGGCCACUUGGGCCUCGCAGCCUACUCCAACGGACCAUCACUUUU